CGUGUAGGCGGCCCUGCAAGUCGGGUGUGAAAUCCCAUGGCUCAACCAUGGAAGUGCACUCGAAACUGCAGGGCUAGAGUCCUGGAGAGGAAGGUGGAAUGCUUGGUGUAGAGGUGAAAUUCGUAGAUAUCAAGCGGAACACCGGUGGCGAAGGCGGCCUUCUGGACAGUGACUGACGCUGAGCGCGAAGCGUGGGAGCAAACA
This 204-nucleotide ribosomal RNA is filed under the name uncultured bacterium. RNAcentral describes it as "partial 16S ribosomal RNA". It matches the Rfam family "Bacterial small subunit ribosomal RNA", at positions 568 to 774 of the family's 1533-position model. The record is from RNAcentral.